This 311-nucleotide ribosomal RNA is filed under the name uncultured bacterium. RNAcentral's name for it is "bacterial SSU rRNA". It matches the Rfam family "Bacterial small subunit ribosomal RNA", at positions 30 to 334 of the family's 1533-position model. The record is from RNAcentral.
ACCGAACGCUGACGGCGGGCCUCAUACAUGCAAGUCGAGCGAGAAGCCACUUCGGUGGUGGAAAGCGGCGCACGGGUGAGUAACGCGUGGGUAAUCUAUCUCUUGGAUGGGAAUAACAGUUCGAAAGGACUGCUAAUGCCGAGUAAGCUCAAGAAUUCAUAAAGUUUUUUGAGGAAAGAUGGUGCAAGCUAUCGCCGAGAGAGGAGCCUGCGUUCCAUUAGUUUGUUGGUGGGGUAAAAGCCUACCAAGACUACGAUGGAUAACUGGUCUGAGAGGAUGGUCAGUCACACUGGAACUGAAACACGGUCCAG